UACGUAGGGUGCAGGCGUUAAUCGGAAUUACUGGGCGUAAAGCGUGCGCAGGCGGUCUGCUAAGAGAGGUGUGAAAUCCCCGGGCUUAACCUGGGAACUGCGCUUCUAACUGGCAGGCUUGAGUGUGGCAGAGGAAAGUGGAAUUCCCGGUGUAGUGGUGAUAUGCGUAGAUAUCGGGAGGAACACCUGUGGCGAAGGCGGCUUUCUGGGCCUUACCUGACGCUGAGACGCGAAAGCGUGGGGAGCGAACCGG
RNAcentral lists this ribosomal RNA (253 nucleotides) under uncultured bacterium. RNAcentral describes it as "partial 16S ribosomal RNA". It matches the Rfam family "Bacterial small subunit ribosomal RNA", at positions 524 to 776 of the family's 1533-position model. The record is from RNAcentral.